Eriocheir sinensis (Chinese mitten crab) is the source of this 473-nucleotide long non-coding RNA. RefSeq lists it as uncharacterized. The transcript has 2 exons. The record is from RefSeq and is a predicted model, not a curated record. Lineage: Eukaryota; Metazoa; Arthropoda; Malacostraca; Decapoda; Varunidae.
AGAGAGAGACAGUUAGAGAUAGCAAGAGUUACGUUCCCUUUAGAUAUCGUAGAGCAAUAGUUACGUUCCCUUUAGAUAUCGUAGAGCAAUAGUUACGUUCCCUUUAGAUAUCGUAGAGCAAUAGUUACGUUCCCUUUAGAUAUCAUAGAGCAACAGUUACGUUCCCUUCAGAUAUCGUAGACGACUUUAAGGAGAUGGUAAAGAGAGAUAGAGAAAAGUUACGUUCCCUUCAGAUAUCGUAGACGACUUUAAGGAGAUGGUAAAGAGAGAUAGAGAAAAUUACGUUCCCUUCAGAUAUUGUAGACGUAUUAUAUAGUUAAUAGUUACGUUCCCUCCCGAUAUUAUAGACGUUAAGAAGGUAAAAAAAAAAACAAUAGAGCAAUAGUUAUACGUUCCCUUUCGAUAUAAUAGAUUAGUGAAUGAACGAAAUAAAAAUAAAGAAAAAGAAAGAAAGAGAAUGAAAUGAAAAUAAA